AGGGCAAGUCUGGUGCCAGCAGCCGCGGUAAUUCCAGCUCCAAUAGCGUAUAUUAAAGUUGUUGCAGUUAAAAAGCUCGUAGUUGAAUUUCGGGGUCAGCAGGUUGGUCGUGCCAAUGGUAUGCACUGGCCUUGCUGAUUCCUCCCUCUUGAUGAGCCGUAAUGCCAUUAAUUUGGUGUUGUGGGGAAUCAGGACUGUUACUUUGAAAAAAUUAGAGUGUUUAAAGCAGGCAAGCGCUUGAAUACAUUAGCAUGGAAUAAUGAAAUAGGACGUUCGAUCCUAUUUUGUUGGUUUCUAGGAUUGACGUUAUGAUUAAUAGGGAUAGUUGGGGGCAUUAGUAUUCAAUUGUCAGAGGUGAAAUUCUUGGAUUUAUUGAAGACUAACUACUGCGAAAGCAUUUGCCAAGGAUGUUUUCAUUAAUCAAGAACGAAAGUUAGGGGAUCGAAGACGAUCAGAUACCGUCGUAGUCUUAACCAUAAACUAUGCCGACUAGGGAUCGGAUGAUGUUAAUUUUUUAAUGACUCAUUCGGCGCCUUACGGGAA
RNAcentral lists this ribosomal RNA (543 nucleotides) under uncultured Glomeromycotina. RNAcentral's name for it is "SSU rRNA". It matches the Rfam family "Eukaryotic small subunit ribosomal RNA", at positions 552 to 1096 of the family's 1831-position model. The record is from RNAcentral. Lineage: Eukaryota; Fungi; Glomeromycota.